Molecule: long non-coding RNA, 88 nt
Filed under: Struthio camelus australis
Lineage: Eukaryota; Metazoa; Chordata; Aves; Struthioniformes; Struthionidae
Description: lncRNA (ENSSCUG00000014675.1)
Source: RNAcentral
UGCUAUGAGGCAUCUGCAGCCACUCUGCUAUCUCCUCUAACUGAAGAUCAAGACGUAUUCUGGACCUGUAUUCCUUCAUGAUGCAGAC